UGAGGAAUAUUGCACAAUGGGCGCAAGCCUGAUGCAGCGACGCCGCGUGAGUGAAGAAGGCCUUCGGGUCGUAAAGCUCUUUUCUGCGUGACGAGGAAGGACGGUAGCGCAGGAAUAAGUCUCGGCUAACUACGUGCCAGCAGCCGCGGUAAAACGUAGGAGACAAACGUUAUCCGGAGUUACUGGGCGUAAAGGGCGUGCAGGUGGUCUGUUAAGUCUGGCGUGAAAGCUCUCGGCUAAACCGGGAGAGGUCGUUGGAUACUGGCGGACUAGAGGACGGUAGAGGCGUGUGGAAUUCCGGGUGUAGUGGUGAAAUGCGUAGAGAUCCGGAGGAACACCAGUGGCGAAGGCGACACGCUGGGCCGUACCUGACACUAAGACGCGACAGCAUGGGGAGCGA
RNAcentral lists this ribosomal RNA (400 nucleotides) under uncultured bacterium. RNAcentral's name for it is "bacterial SSU rRNA". It matches the Rfam family "Bacterial small subunit ribosomal RNA", at positions 355 to 771 of the family's 1533-position model. The record is from RNAcentral.